This 250-nucleotide ribosomal RNA is filed under the name uncultured Anaerolineaceae bacterium. Its description in RNAcentral is "partial 16S ribosomal RNA". It matches the Rfam family "Bacterial small subunit ribosomal RNA", at positions 1133 to 1382 of the family's 1533-position model. Lineage: Bacteria; Bacillati; Chloroflexota; Anaerolineae; Anaerolineales; Anaerolineaceae. The record is from RNAcentral.
CAAGUGUCUAACGGGACUGCCGGUUUAAUACCGGAGGAAGGUGGGGAUGACGUCAAGUCAGCAUGGCCUCUAUGUCCAGGGCUACACACACGCUACAAUGGCCGGUACAGUGGGUUGCCAAACCGCGAGGUGGAGCUAAUCCUCAAAGCCGGUCUCAGUUCGGAUUGUAGGCUGCAACUCGCCUGCAUGAAGUCGGAGUUGCUAGUAACCGCGCGUCAGCUAUAGCGCGGUGAAUACGUUCCCGGGCCUU